UUGUCGUGGAGAACACAACUUUGAACAUGUACGAAGGUUUUCUCUCUCUGAGGGUCAAGUUGCUUAAAGAUAGAGCAUCAUACCCAUGUAUUAUUUGGACAGGCUAAUGAGGUAUGUUUUUUAUGACAUUGGCCAACUAGCAUCAUAAAUAAUAAGUGUUUCUUGCUUGAAUUGACAUGGAAAAAUUGAAAAUCGAGUAUUUUUUCGUUUGUAUUUUUUGAUUGUAGAUGGCCUCUAAAAUGAAAUAUUUGUCCAUGGUACCUUGUUCCUCCUAGGUUUUUUUCCUUGUAUUUUAUUUUUAAAACAUUGGUUUCAGUGUUUUCUUAGAAGUUUGUGAGUCAUCUUCCAUUUUCUAACAAUAUAAUGGUCUGAUGCUAUUUGGAUGGUUCUUCUGCACCUAGCAUGACUGGUUGAGAAAUACGUUAAUUCUGUGGAUAUCAAUAACACUGUGUAUUACCAAGUUAUGCAAGUAUUAGGUGGUACUCCUUGUUUGGCCAUUCCAUCAUUUUGUUGCUACAUGAGGCAUUUCAAGAUUUUUUUUACAGAAUUUCACCUUAGCUUUACCUUCAUUUGAUGUAUGCGUUUGCUUUUUCAUAUCAAAGAAUGCAGCCCCUUGCAAACCUUCAUUCAUGCUAUUCUGAACCUGAAGAUCAUGAUUCAACAGAGCCUGAUCCCUCCAAUACAGAGUGCCUUCUCUUAGCCAGAGGAAUCAGAUCCUGCUGUCAUGGUGUCAUGCGACGAAGUGGCGCCGUGUUGUUGUCGACACUUUUGCUUUCUGUAUGGACUCGUGUAUUUACAAUCGGAGUCAAAGGUCUCAACUCUCAAUUUACAUACAUGGACAACAUUCAACUCUACUCAUUU
RNAcentral lists this long non-coding RNA (861 nucleotides) under Zea mays. RNAcentral's name for it is "long non-coding RNA (ZMAY_LNC001978)". Lineage: Eukaryota; Viridiplantae; Streptophyta; Magnoliopsida; Poales; Poaceae. The record is from RNAcentral.